GAAUAUUGGACAAUGGGCGCAAGCCUGAUCCAGCCAUACCGCGUGGGUGAAGAAGGCCUUCGGGUUGUAAAGCCCUUUUGGUGGGAAAGAAAAGCAGUCGGCUAAUACCCGGUUGUUCUGACGGUACCCAAAGCAUAAGCACCGGCUACCUUCGUGACCGCAGCCCCGGUAAUACGAAGGGUCCAAUCGUUACUCGGAAUUACUGUGCGUAAAGCGUGCGUAGGGUGUUGUUUAAGUCUGUUGUGAAAGCCCUGCGCUCAACCUGGGAAUGGCAGUGAAUACUGGGCGACUAGAGUGUGGUAGAGGGUAGUGGAAUUCCCUGUGUAGCAGUGAAAUGCGUAGAGAUCGGGAGGAACAUCCAUGGCGAAGGCAGCUACCUGGACCAACACUGACACUGAGGCACGAAAGCGUGGGGAGCAAACAG
RNAcentral lists this ribosomal RNA (424 nucleotides) under uncultured bacterium. RNAcentral describes it as "partial 16S ribosomal RNA". It matches the Rfam family "Bacterial small subunit ribosomal RNA", at positions 359 to 775 of the family's 1533-position model. The record is from RNAcentral.